AGAGUUUGAUCCUGGCUCAGGACGAACGCUGGCGGCGUGCUUAACACAUGCAAGUCGAACGGUGAACCUCCUUCGGGAGGGGAUCAGUGGCGAACGGGUGAGUAACACGUGAGCAACCUGCCCCUAGCUCUGGGAUAACCCCGGGAAACCGGAGCUAAUACCGGAUACGAGACCGAGCGGCAUCACACGGUCUGGAAAGUUUUUCGGCUAGGGAUGGGCUCGCGGCCUAUCAGCUUGUUGGUGGGGUAAUGGCCCACCAAGGCGACGACGGGUAGCCGGCCUGAGAGGGCGACCGGCCACACUGGGACUGAGACACGGCCCAGACUCCUACGGGAGGCAGCAGUGGGGAAUAUUGCGCAAUGGGCGAAAGCCUGACGCAGCGACGCCGCGUGGGGGAUGAAGGCCUUCGGGUUGUAAACCUCUUUCAGCAGGGAAGAAGCGAAAGUGACGGUACCUGCAGAAGAAGCACCGGCUAACUACGUGCCAGCAGCCGCGGUAAUACGUAGGGUGCAAGCGUUGUCCGGAAUUAUUGGGCGUAAAGAGCUCGUAGGCGGUCUGUCGCGUCGGAUGUGAAAAUCCAGGGCUCAACCCUGGACCUGCAUUCGAUACGGGCAGACUAGAGUUCGGUAGGGGAGACUGGAAUUCCUGGUGUAGCGGUGAAAUGCGCAGAUAUCAGGAGGAACACCGGUGGCGAAGGCGGGUCUCUGGGCCGAAACUGACGCUGAGGAGCGAAAGCGUGGGGAGCGAACAGGAUUAGAUACCCUGGUAGUCCACGCCGUAAACGUUGGGCGCUAGGUGUGGGGAACCUUCCACGUUCUCCGUGCCGCAGCUAACGCAUUAAGCGCCCCGCCUG
This 853-nucleotide ribosomal RNA is filed under the name uncultured Actinomycetes bacterium. RNAcentral describes it as "bacterial SSU rRNA". It matches the Rfam family "Bacterial small subunit ribosomal RNA", at positions 9 to 873 of the family's 1533-position model. Lineage: Bacteria; Bacillati; Actinomycetota; Actinomycetes. The record is from RNAcentral.